AGCCCAACUGCGAAUCACCUCUAAGAUAUAAAGCUAUCCUAUGUCAAAAAGGGCAAUAAAUAAUAUGAAAAAGAAUCGGAUCAUAAUCACUAACAGACUCACUACCAUGUGUGUGUGAAUAGAUAACAGGCUUAAUGUGAUUACCAAAGGUUUAAAAGGGAUGAAGAAAGAUGAGAUUAAAGUUAAGUUCAGGAUUGACAAAAUAGUUCGAAACGGUCUAUAUAAGGAAGAAAUUCAUGAUCGUAUGUGAUUUGUGUUUUUAUGAUAUCUUUAGUGUGAUGAAUGAACUUACUUGUUUUAUUUGGUCAAGAUUAAAAUAGGUGACUAAAGGGACGUCUUAUGUCAUGUUUUCUC
RNAcentral lists this long non-coding RNA (354 nucleotides) under Trifolium pratense (red clover). RNAcentral's name for it is "long non-coding RNA (TPRA_LNC006282)". Lineage: Eukaryota; Viridiplantae; Streptophyta; Magnoliopsida; Fabales; Fabaceae. The record is from RNAcentral.